UGCCAGUGGUUGUGGGUCCCUAGGGACAGUCUCAGCCAGGCUGCUUUGACUGCAUGGAGAUAGGCUUUGAUAAUGGGUUGAACAGUGGCCAUGGUGGCCACGGUGCUCCUCAGCACCCUCUGUCUCAGGAUUGGGAUGCAGGAUCAGGAGGUGAUGGGCGGCAUUGGGAAAACCAUGAUGCAGAGUAGAGGCAUCUUUGAUACAUUCAUGACGAUGGGGAUGGGCUAACGAUGCU
This 235-nucleotide long non-coding RNA is filed under the name Homo sapiens (human). RNAcentral's name for it is "non-protein coding lnc-ARID1A-1:1". The record is from RNAcentral. Lineage: Eukaryota; Metazoa; Chordata; Mammalia; Primates; Hominidae.